CCUACGGGUGGCUGCAGUGAGGAAUAUUGGUCAAUGGACGAGAGUCUGAACCAGCUAAGUAGCGUGAAGGAUGACUGCCCUAUGGGUGUUAAACUUCUUUUUUAUGGGAAUAAAGUGUCCCACGUAUGGGUUUUUGUGUGUACCAUAUGAAUAAGGAUCGGCUAACUCCGUGCCAGCAGCCGCGGUAAUACGGAGGAUCCGAGCGUUAUCCGGAUUGAUUGGGUUUAAAGGGAGCGUAGGUGGAUGGUUAAGUCAGUUGUGAAAGUUUGCGGCUCAACCGUAGAAUUGCAGUUGAAACUGGCAGGCUUGAGUACAGUAGAGGUGGGCGGAAUUCGUGGUGUAGCGGUGAAAUGCGUAGAUAUCACGAAGAACUCCGAUUGCGAAGGCAGCUCACUGGACUGCAACUGACACUGAGGCUCGAAAGUGUGGGGAGCAAACAGGAUUAGAUACCCGAGUAGUC
Molecule: ribosomal RNA, 460 nt
Filed under: uncultured bacterium
Lineage: Bacteria
Description: partial 16S ribosomal RNA
Rfam family: Bacterial small subunit ribosomal RNA
Source: RNAcentral